Molecule: ribosomal RNA, 224 nt
Filed under: uncultured bacterium
Lineage: Bacteria
Description: partial 16S ribosomal RNA
Rfam family: Bacterial small subunit ribosomal RNA
Source: RNAcentral
ACGCUCGACACCUACGGGAGGAGCAGUAGGGAAUCUUCCACAAUGGACGCAAGUCUGAUGGAGCAACGCCGCGUGAGUGAAGAAGGUUUUCGGAUCGUAAAGCUCUGUUGUUGGUGAAGAAGGAUAGAGGUAGUAACUGGCCUUUAUUUGACGGUAAUCAACCAGAAAGUCACGGCUAACUACGUGCCAGCAGCCGCGGUAAUCUGAGCGGGCGUGGCGAAGGC